UGGAUAUAUGAUACUAUACGGAUUGGCUUUAGUCCAAGUGGGAGUUGUUAGAAAUUGUAUCCUAAAGUCAAUCAUUUGACGAUUGUGCUAAUUAUAAAUAUAAAUGAAUUGAUCAAUAAUAAAAGUUAUUUGAUCUUUUUUUUCAUUAUAAGGUUACAUCUUUUAAUGAAUUUUUAUGUUGUGAUGAAGUCCUUAGGAUUACUUUGAUCGAUAAAAGAGAAUUUAUCACAUAGUCCUUAAAUUAGUUCGCAACCAAAUGAUACGCUAUUAGUAGGAUGAUAGUGAUAUCAAGUGUAGAUUGUUGUGU
This 307-nucleotide long non-coding RNA is filed under the name Elaeis guineensis (African oil palm). RNAcentral's name for it is "long non-coding RNA (EGUI_LNC052978)". Lineage: Eukaryota; Viridiplantae; Streptophyta; Magnoliopsida; Arecales; Arecaceae. The record is from RNAcentral.